This 1179-nucleotide long non-coding RNA is filed under the name Pongo abelii (Sumatran orangutan). Its description in RNAcentral is "lncRNA (ENSPPYG00000033801.1)". The record is from RNAcentral. Lineage: Eukaryota; Metazoa; Chordata; Mammalia; Primates; Hominidae.
AGGGAUUUAGAUUUAGAUAUAGACAGACAUCAUUUUGAUACACUGGUAUCGUGCCCAUCAUCAAUAUUAGAUGUAUUACAAUUAUUUCAUUCUAUAAAACUUAUAUAAUUUUAAUUUUCAACACUGAAUUAUAUAGAAUGUUGAAUGGAAAAAUAAGGUUUGCCUAAGGCUGUUCACCAUUUCUGUUUUUUUAUUUUUGAUUAACUUUUUAGAAACAGUCUUAAAAUUAGAGAAAAGUUCUGGGCGUGGUGGCUCACGCCUGUAAUCCCAGCACUUUGGGAGGCUGAGUGGGGUGGAUCACCUGAGGUCAGGAGUUCGAGACCAGCCUGACCAACAUGGUGAAACCCCAUCUCUACUAAAUACAAAAAAUUAGCUGGGUGCGGUAGCUCAUGCCUGUAAUCUCAGCUGCUUGGAAGGCUGAGGCAGGAGAAUCGCUUUAACCUGGCAGACAGAGGUUGCAGUGAGCUGAGAUUACACCAUUGCUCUCCAGCCUGGACAACAAGAGUGAAACUCCAUCUCAAAACAAAAACAAAAACAAACAAAAAUUAGAGAACAGUUCCAAGUUUUCAUACAAACAACUUUUUCCCUUGCAGCCACUUGAGAAUAAAUUGCUGACAUUACCCCAUCACCCCUGAUUACUUUAGUGAGUGUUUCUACAAGUCAGGGCAUUCUUAUAUAAGUACAAUCCAAUUUUCAUAAUCAGAAAGUAACAUGAAUACAUUCUAUCAUGUUAUCCUCAGAUUCUUUUCAAGUUGUAUUACUUGUCUAUAAUGUCCUUUAUAGCAAAAGAAUCCCAUUCAGAACCAUGGAUUGCAUUUAGUUGUCAUGUCUCUUAGGUUCUUUAGAACAGAUCCUCAGUCUUUUCUUAGCCUUCAUGACCUUGAAUCUUUUGAAGAAUAAAGUCCAGUAAUGUAGAAGCUUCCUCAGCUGAGUUUCUCUGAUGUUUCUUAUGAUUACUUAGAUCAUAUGUUUUUGAUGAGUAUCUUAUGAUCUCAUUGCAUCCUAUCACGUGACCUAAAAUUUUGAUUUGUCAUGUUACUGGUGACGUUAGCCUUGAUCACCAAUAGUGUUAUUUUCUGGGUUUCUCCUGUUAUGUUACUUUUUCACCUUGUAAUUAGUAGUUUGUGGGGAGGAGAUUUGAGACUUUGUAAAUAUAUUUGUUCCUCAUUGAACUUUCAA